UGGGGGAUCGUUUGACUAGUCCGCAGGAUUUCCAGGUGUUAUCCUGCGUCUAGGGAUGAGCGGUCCAACCGGAGGACGAAACUCCAAAGCUCCCACACCGGAACAUCCAACGCCAUGUGUAGCUCCCAAACUAUGUCCUACGCGCGCAGACUGGAUCAUCACACACCGGAACAUCCAACGCCAUGGUGAUGACCCUAAACUCUAUACAAAGUCUUUCCAUACGCCGGAACAUCUCACGCCUCAUAUGGAAAGUGUCUCACACGCCGGAACAUCCAACGCCGCGAGUGAGACUGGUAACUGGGGAAGGUACUUACGUAGUGUACACACACAACUUCUCUCAAAAUCAAAUUCUUCCACAACACCCUCCAACAACCCAAGUAUCUCGUCUAAAGAGAAUAUAUAAAUAUACUUCCUCACAACCCAUAUAAAAUGCACUCUCAAAACCCACAAUGCCAAACUCACAAUAUAUUGCCAAGUGCUAUACAACCAACAUAAUCAACUCAUAAAUAUAAUAUAUAUUCCA
This 523-nucleotide long non-coding RNA is filed under the name Prunus persica (peach). RNAcentral's name for it is "long non-coding RNA (PPER_LNC007366)". Lineage: Eukaryota; Viridiplantae; Streptophyta; Magnoliopsida; Rosales; Rosaceae. The record is from RNAcentral.